RNAcentral lists this ribosomal RNA (279 nucleotides) under uncultured bacterium. RNAcentral's name for it is "partial 16S ribosomal RNA". It matches the Rfam family "Bacterial small subunit ribosomal RNA", at positions 506 to 784 of the family's 1533-position model. The record is from RNAcentral.
UGCCAGCCGCCGCGGUAAUACGGAGGGAGCAAACGUUGUUCGGAUUUACUGGGUGUAAAGGGUGCGUAGGCGGCCCUGUAAGUCAGAGGUGAAAUCCUGCGGCUCAACCGUAGAACUGCCUUUGAAACUACAAACCUUGAGUUUGGAAGAGAGAGAUGGAAUUCCAGGUGUAGUGGUGAAAUACGUAGAUAUCUGGAAGAACACCAGUGGCGAAGGCGAUCUCUUGGUCCAUAACUGACGCUGAGGCGCGAAAGCGUGGGGAGCAAACAGGAUUAGAUA